UCAUGGGCGUUUCCUCCCUGAACUUGGGCCGCGCUUCGGCGCGGCCUCUUUUUUUGUGCUG
Molecule: small RNA, 61 nt
Filed under: marine eukaryotic metagenome
Description: Makes More Granules Regulator RNA (mmgR)
Rfam family: Makes More Granules Regulator RNA (mmgR)
About the family: SuhB later renamed mmgR (makes more granules regulator) was a putative non-coding RNA found multiple times in the Agrobacterium tumefaciens genome and related alpha-proteobacteria. Other non-coding RNAs uncovered in the same analysis include: speF, ybhL, metA, and serC.
Source: RNAcentral